UCUCGAUUGGUCUAGUGGUCAGGAUACCUGCUUGUCAUUGUACAAGUACGCAGGUGGCCGGGGUUCGAUUCCCCGAUCGAGAG
Molecule: transfer RNA, 83 nt
Filed under: Daldinia decipiens
Lineage: Eukaryota; Fungi; Ascomycota; Sordariomycetes; Xylariales; Hypoxylaceae
Also listed under: 1 other name
Description: tRNA-Asp
Rfam family: tRNA
About the family: Transfer RNA (tRNA) molecules are approximately 80 nucleotides in length. Their secondary structure includes four short double-helical elements and three loops (D, anti-codon, and T loops). Further hydrogen bonds mediate the characteristic L-shaped molecular structure. tRNAs have two regions of fundamental functional importance: the anti-codon, which is responsible for specific mRNA codon recognition, and the 3' end, to which the tRNAs corresponding amino acid is attached (by aminoacyl-tRNA synthetases). tRNAs cope with the degeneracy of the genetic code in two manners: having more than one tRNA (with a specific anti-codon) for a particular amino acid; and 'wobble' base-pairing, i.e. permitting non-standard base-pairing at the 3rd anti-codon position.
Source: RNAcentral